UUUAUCAUCAAUUGGUAACAUUUUAUUUCUUUACUGGGUUAAACAGAGAGCAGAAGGUGUCUGCUCAAAGUACAACAGAACAAAAAGCAUUACAGGUACAGAUAAGGACUAUUGAAACACAGACAGUAUUAGUAUUAUAUUCUUUUUUUUUUAAAAUACAACUCAAUUAUAGCAUCUUUUUUAAACCAUCUCAGAAAAUUAAAAGAGGAUCUAGUGCAAAAAGGUUCUAGAACAUUAAGCACAGUGUAUAAAAUGACAUAAGAAGGAGGUCCUCACACGAGGAAACGCCAACCUCAUCCGUAUGGCAAAAUUUGAAAUGAGAAGAAAACAAAUAAGUGUGAAAUUGGGAAAUACAAUUCAGGACUGACAAAGAUAAAAGGGGGAGGGGGACCAAAAUUAGAAAGAACGUUUUAACCCCUUCUUGGUUGGGGAAGCUGCACUGCAUUGAUUUGCAAUGUAUCUCAAGCCUGAGUCCAUCAAGAAAAGGGCUAAAGGCUAAGUUCCACAUUGCGUUCUCAUUUUUUUAUGUUAUUUUAAAAUUUCUCACUUUGUGAAAAUAUUUUUUUUCUUCUCCCAAGUCUGACUUUAAUAGACACCUAAAGUCCUCACAACAUCUUGAGAAGGGUUCAGGCACAUACAGCCUUAAAAGCAGCGCACAACGUGCAUAAUACCACGCCUGGAUUUAUUGACUGCACACUUCAAAAUCUGUUGCCUCCCCAGCAAAAUCAUAAAUUACCUCCUUAAAGAUCUGUUCUCAAGGGGAACGAGAUGUUCCCUUGAAUUUGCUCAUUUUGCAUUGUGCAAUGUCACCCAAAAUUUCUCUACACCCUUGUAGGUUUUCUUGAACUCUGAUCAUAACCCUUAAUUCCUUUUGCUUCUAAAGGGAACAGCAGUGCACCGUGCAAAUAGAAGCAAAAGGGUUAACAGUACCUAUAUUUAUAAAAUACAGAGAAGAAUGAUUGAACCCUGUUUCAAAAUCAUAGGUGGUUGGAACAUUGCAUGUCUUGUUUCAGUUUAUUGUUGUUUGGAGGUGACAGUGUUCUUGUGUUAAAAUUGUUGAAGUUCUACAAUAUUCUAAUGUCUGUAUUAAGUGUGCAGUCAUGCUCAGUAUUGCUUCAUUUAACCUCUUAGGGGACAAAGGGGGUUCCCCCAGGGUAAUGCACUUGAAUUGAAAUGUACCUUCAAACCAUAACCUGACACGGCUGGGGAGAAAGUUAAACAUUUGCAAAGCCACAUUUACACCAAAAUGACUUUGGUUUUAUUUAUAUAUCCUUUGUGCACACUGUUGGCUCCAGAGGCCUUUUUUUUGCAUACAUAAAAAUAUAUACAUUGUAUUUUCUCUGACAAUACAAGAUGCAUCAUUCCUGUUACUAAAUUGCUUUCCUAAGUAACAGAGCACUUUUGAUAAUGACACUUCCUAAUCAUGAAGGAAAGCAGGUUCGAGAAACGGUAGCAUCAUAUGAUAAUGGCACACAUUGGCCUCUUAUAAGCACUUGUAAGUUCAACAUCACAGCAAAGUGUUCUUAUGUCUACAAUGGUCUCUCAGAAAUUGCAAGUCCUAAUAGUCACGAGUUAUUAGUUGUAGACACGCAAAAAGUAGGUAUUUCCAGAAUUCAUCCCAAAACUCACUAAUUGUGGCCAUAAGCAAAUAAUUUAUAUCUUCUCAACAUCUGCUAGAAAUAAUUCAUUGUAAAUUUAUUUUGUCUGCUUCUUUCUACAUACAAGCACAUAAACAUUACGAAUGAGCAGAGGCCCCGAAAGAGGACAUCUUUUCAUCUCAACAGAAAAAAAAUAAGAAAUGCUUCACUAGGUUUCCGAGUCUCCAUGUUCUUCGUGGAAUCCAUAUAAUAUUUUAUAAAUUAAUAUACAACAAAGAGGAAUAUAUUAUCUCUUUACUGUGUGGGAAGAUUAAAAAUGGAUAGAAGUGAAGCUAACAUAUGCUGUUUUGCUCAAAUUUAUAGGUUUAUUACAAAAGCAAUUUUAAACCUUUUCCCUCGCUGUGAAUAAUAGAUCAAACAUGCAGAAAAUAUUUAGCUUUUUCUCAUUUAUAAACACUUGUCCAAUAGGUUUCUAAUUAAGAAAUCCAGCAAACAUUUGUUUAUUUGAAAGGGACCUGUUAUAUUCAAAUAGACUUCUUCUAGUCGAGUAGUUCCCAUCCCAGCACAGUCCUUUAAGUGUCUGAAUCCUGGCCUUUUGGUGUGAUCUGAAGAAUGGGUUAGGAACCACUCUUCCAGCCCAUACGAAACCAGCAGGAAGACCAGUUGAAUAAUAUGUCUCAGUUGCGCCAGAAAAUCCCCCAGACAUAAUUCAGAUCUUCACAGGUCAGUUUAAAUUAGAUUGUGGGGUGGUUGAGACUUAAUGAACAGUAAAGCUACUUGAUAAACUAACUCUAAAUAUGUUAAAGGCAGUACUGGCUUCUGUGGGUUAACUAACCAAUGUUUUCAAAACGAACGCGACUUCAUAUGACUGUGGGAUGGUUGACCUCUAUUUUAAAGCUAGCUAGUUUCACGGCUUACAUCAGAAUAAACAAACAUACACACAUUUUACAGGUUUUCAUGACUCCUGUAACUCUCAAGUUUGAUUUAAGAAUUUUCAUACAGUCUACCGUGAGAAUAUAGUAAAAUUGUUACAAUUUAAAGCAGGAGUUUAAUAAAUCUUCCAAAAUAACCCUUACCUCGACUGUUACAGAUUUGUUUUUCUAUAAAAUGUAGAUUUAGAAUAAUGUUAACAUUUAAAAUGUGUUUCUGAAAUUUUUUUAUUAUUUAUCCUGCACAGGGAAGGAUGACUAGGGCUAUUGCAAGUGAGUAGGCAUCAUAUGAAUACCAUCAACCCAUACGUUUAAGUUUUAAGUAGACAUUUUUAUAUAAUUUAAAUCUCCUGCAGACAAACUAGCAUCCAUAUGCGCUGUUCGGUCCGCCCCCUAUUCGUCAUCUUUGAGUAAACUUUGACCCUGUACCUCACAGUCAGCAGACAC
Non-coding RNA from Pelobates cultripes (western spadefoot toad), 2974 nucleotides. The record is from the annotation of a GenBank genome assembly. NCBI's taxonomy places the organism in Eukaryota, Metazoa, Chordata, Amphibia, Anura, Pelobatidae.